AAUUGAACGCUGGCGGCAUGCUUUACACAUGCAAGUCGAACGCGGGUGAGGGGCAACUCUCACCUGAGUGGCGAACGGGUGAGUAAUACAUCGGAACGUGUCCCGUAGUGGGGGAUAACCCGGCGAAAGCCGGACUAAUACCGCAUAUGCUCUACGGAGGAAAGUGGGGGACCCGCAAGGGCCUCAUGCUAUGGGAGCGGCCGAUGUCCGAUUAGCUUGUUGGCGGGGUAAAGGCCCACCAAGGCGACGAUCGGUAGCUGGUCUGAGAGGAUGAUCAGCCACACUGGGACUGAGACACGGCCCAGACUCCUACGGGAGGCAGCAGUGGGGAAUUUUGGACAAUGGGGGCAACCCUGAUCCAGCCAUGCCGCGUGAGUUAAGAAAGCCUUCGGGUUGUAAAGCUCUUUUGGCCGGAAAGAAAAGGCUACGGAUUACACC
Molecule: ribosomal RNA, 438 nt
Filed under: uncultured bacterium
Lineage: Bacteria
Description: bacterial SSU rRNA
Rfam family: Bacterial small subunit ribosomal RNA
Source: RNAcentral